Molecule: long non-coding RNA, 2990 nt
Filed under: Actinidia chinensis (golden kiwifruit)
Lineage: Eukaryota; Viridiplantae; Streptophyta; Magnoliopsida; Ericales; Actinidiaceae
Description: long non-coding RNA (ACHI_LNC003003)
Source: RNAcentral
AGCUUGUCAUCAGUUAGCUGAAUAGAAAGGGGUAUAGUUGUUUGCUUUUAUUUUUCUGCCUUUGUUUAAUGUUAUUACUUUUUAUGUCCUACCUCAUUGAUCUUCAUUGUUGUGGAAGUGCACCAACAAUGAAGUAGAGUGGUUUGGACUUGCCCAGAAUGACUUCUGCUUCUCGUGUGGUACUACCAUUGUUGUUGUCUUUGUCAGUAUACAUUAUACUACCUAUCUUUGGGUUUGUCCUCUAUUGUAAUUAAUAAGCUAAAUUCUACUAGUUUGUUGUGCAGAGCUAUUGUUGGAUACAUUGAUUUUUUGCAAGUAUUGGACAACAACUUAUUUACCAACAACGGAUUCUUGCACGGGAGAUCAGUAGCAUGAAAAGUUUGUUGACUACAUAAAAGGUUUCUUCUAGUCUUUUCUCACUGGAAUCAGCUGCAUGAAAAGUUUGUGUUUUUCCUUCUUUUGCUAACAGUAAAUUCAUGUUUUUUUAACAAAUAGAAUACUUAAAAAUGAAUUUCUUAUUUGUCACCUUAAGGAAUGUUAACUUCAUAAUGCCCAUUCUAAGUAUAGACAAAAUUGUACGACUUUCGUGAUAGCAAGUCUAGACAAAAUUGUACGACCUUCGUGGUUGCAAUGUUUACUAAUUAAAUUGGCUUUUCUUCUACUCUUGAGCAAGUUAGAACAUAUAAAAGCUAAAAACUGAGCUCAUUUUUGUGUGGCUUCUAGGAAUUUCAUCUAAAGGAAUGUGGAGUAACUGGGUUUUUUUUCCUUUUGUAUUUUUUUUCUUUUCCUUUUCUAGAAAUACAUAUAAUUUCUUCAUAAAAAUGUACACAGUUACCCCAAAUUUCCUUGAAAAAUAAGAUUAUAUUUUUUGUAGCUAGAGUAACAUCUAUUUUUGUACAUACUUGAAAGUUUGGUUUCUCUUAUUUGUUUGGUAAUUAUUUUUUUUGUUAGGUUAGGUAACAUAUCAAAUCCAUAUAAUAGAAAAAAGAGUGACUGUAAUUAUUUUUUAAGGGUAACUGUAGAGGACGUUAGAGAAAACAAGUAUUGUACACCGCUGGUGUAGUACCCGUCCACCUAUAUUAUAUGGACUCAGGUAUGGGUGUCGGGUGUGAGUACGUGCCUAAGUAUUGGAGUUAUCUAAGUGUCCAACAUGAGUACUCUUUUCUUUUAGGAGAGUCUAUAUAACAUAGUUGUCCAAAUAUACACGUACAAUGAUGUUGAGACAUACUUUUGGAGAAUCCUUUUAGUGAGCUACUGCUUAGAAUAUAUAUCACCAUGUCUUGAAAUUAGAAAUGAUACCCACAAGAAAAUUUAUUUUCUUCUCUGGAUCAUUUUUCAAUUUUGUAGAUGUUAUUAGUUGGUAGGUUGUUGCCCUGCAACUUUGGGUCUCUUUCUCUGCCAUGAUUGUUCCUUACCUAUCAGAUAUUGAAGAAUACAAAGAAAAGUAGAUCUGCCAAUGCCUAAAAUGCAUUGCAUACGUGGGAUAGUCAGCAGCAAUUUAUUGUACAUGUGAGAACACGACACAUGCAAAAGUAGAUAUGGCGUUUAGUUUUUGCUGAAAUACCUAACUAUUGUGUUUUCAAGCAUCCAAGUAAUAACUAUAUGAAUUCCAUAUGCAAUGCAUUGCAUGUGUAGGUCCUUUUAAGUAAGCAUUGUUAUCCUCAUUUCUUUUAGCUAAAAUUUUCUAUUGGGAAGAUGUAGGUAGAUACGUUUUCCAUUUACCCAUUGAAUCAAGGAUUCAAUCUUUUUUUUUUCAGUUUGGCUGCUGCUGGAAAAACAAUAUCUUUAUAGAAAGCAUCAAAGGCAAAGGACUUGUCGUUAUUAUUAUUAAUCUUAUUAUCACUAUUAUUAUUAUUAUUAUUAUUAUUCAUGCAAUGCAAGUAUAUUUAUGAAAUAUGUGCAGUUGUUCUUAGUUUUUAGUGCACUGACCAAUAGGUAGAGACGUUUUUCCUUUACACCUGUAUUGUUUUCAUGCUAUUAGCUAUUGAGUCAAAAAGACAGAGGGAGGCCAGUAGGCUUUAAUUGUAUUAUUCUCAGUUUGGCUACUGCUCUAAAGGGAAUAGGUUUGCAAAAAACAUCAAAGGCAAAAGGGCUUGCUAUUUUCUUUUCUUUUUUGUGUAGUUUUUUUAAGUAUUGUUGUAAUUUAGUGCUAGUUUACAGUUUUUAGUGCACUUGCACCUGGUCAUUAAUUUUUAGAGCUCUUAUUCACAUGUAAUAUUUCAUAUGUGUCUCAUUUUAUUAGAAGUUUCAUUAUGUACACAAUAAUUUAUUCAUGUCACUUAGUUAUAUUUUCUAAUUAUAUUCUUGGUGGAUUUUUCUUAUUUAUAUUUUGGUGUUCUUCUAGGUGGUAUUCCUAUCAUCGAAUAGUGUGGCUGGCAUAGAUGGGGAAGAUAAAAUAAUUGUCGUGGAUUUGACGAGGUUCUUGAAGACGUAAUCAUGUGUGUUAGACUGUUAGUAUUCUGAUGCAUAUAUGUUUUAGAGUUACUUCUUUUCUCUGUCAUAUUCACUAAACCGAGUCAGCAUUUUAUUUUAUUUUUUGGGUUUCAUAGGUUUGAUCCUAUUAACAUGUAGGUCAAUCAAGGAGAAUGAAUUCAAAGAUUAGGAGUGCCAAAAGAUACAAAGAUCAAUUUUUUUUUUCCCAAUCUCUACGGGUGUGUUUCUCUCUACAGAUGUGUUUCUAAUAUUAAUCAUCAUUUAAUCUCAUUUCUUUUGUGAUCUCUCUUUUUUUUUGGUUUGAACUAGGAGUUCUUCUAGAUAGCACAAACGAUUUGAUGGAAGAUAGGCUGUGGUUAGUAGUACACUCUGCACUGGCACUAUAACUCUUCAGGUGCACGAUUAUUUUACUUUGCAUUGGUUGUGGCAAGGUAGUUUCUGAUAAAUGCGCGUUAAUUGCAAAUUUAAGGGUAGUUGUGGACUUGAGGAAGGGAGAGAAAAUAAGUAUGUGUCUCCUUUUAUCAUAAGUUUCUUUAUGUCCAUGUAUUUGUUUCAUC